Long non-coding RNA from Mangifera indica (mango), 1167 nucleotides. RefSeq lists it as uncharacterized. The transcript is spliced from 2 exons. NCBI's taxonomy places the organism in Eukaryota, Viridiplantae, Streptophyta, Magnoliopsida, Sapindales, Anacardiaceae. The record is from RefSeq and is a predicted model, not a curated record.
CCACUUUGUAGCCAAAAGAGAAAUCGAGGAAGAAUUAGUAUCGAGAUGAUCAACCAACAUCUUUAUCUUCUUGUUGAAUCAAGCUCUUGAGUGUUGUUCUUAUAUUCUUUACCUGUUGUGGAAUGCAAGUUUCUUGAACAGAAUAAAGUGUAGUUUGAGAUUCUUGCUUGGUACUUUAGGUUGGUGUUCUUUUUAAGUUAGUCUAGUUUUGUUUCAGUGAAGUCAGUUUUGUACUAGAGUUUUCCAUUGUUGUUCCACUUAUUAUAGAUGAAUAUAAAAUAUGCAUGAGAAUGGAGUGAAAUGCAAAAUAGAAAGGAUUUGCAUGUUGGUAUGCAAUCGGAGUCCAUUGAAUUCUGAGUUUUGCGUUGUCUUGGAGAUAGAACAAGUGCAAAGCUGUGGCAAGAAAUAAUUUUCAUAUACAAAAUGGACUCAAGAAUAUUCGAUUCAUCCGGAGCAAGUCAUGUUUCAUCUCAUGCAUUCAGUGAUAGCAUUAUGACACCUUUUCAUGCCUUUAUGAAAGGAAAGGCAAUACAAAUUGAAGCACCUUCACCAGGUGGCGUAAUAGAAGAUGUCAAGGUUGACAUGGAAUUUAUAGAAGAUUUUGAUGCUUUGGAUGAUGAAGUUGAUGUACGUUUUGGUAUGAAGGAACAACAAAAGUAACAACUCUUGUUAUUCCAUCCACCAAGAGAGAAAAGCUAUUUGGGACUGCUUUCCAAAGAAGUGGUGUGUUGGUCGGGAAUCAAAUAUGUUGUACACAAGAAUUGCAAGAAGAGGUUGAAAUUGUAAAAGACUAGGGUUGCUACCCAUUUAACAUGACAUAUUUCUCAAUGUUUUGAAAGGAGGAUGCAUUGGAGAAAGAAGUUGUCCAAAAGGGACAAGCAGUGCUAGUGUUUAAGCCUUCCAACAUAGAGAUUCCUAACUCUUUAUCUAGCGGCCAUGUGUUGAAGAUGAACUCGAAAUAUUAGCACAACAAGGUAAAACUACAUUAACUUGAUGCUUACAUUAAUAUAUUUAUGUACAUAAUUGUAUUAGUGGAUUCAAUGAAUGUGGUGUUGGUGUUGUAGGUUCAAUAAGUCUUAGCUCACAUGAUUGUUAUUGAUGAACAUCCAUUUUAAUAUAGAUGCUUUUUUGUGACGUUGAAUGUCAAAGAUUGAAAUUUUUUUUGAA